GUGGAUUUGAAGGAUGUGGUGAGUCCUGAAGCGCUAGUGACCAAGGACAUGAAGGUUACGGCUGCCGAAGUAAUCAAGAAGAGGUUUGAGGAGCCAAGCUUAGGUUUUGAAAUGAUUUAAUUUACAGUGUGUCUUUGAAUUUAAAGAGAUUUUGUUAAUUGAAAAACUUGUUAAUUUAGAUUAAUUGCUGGAAAUUCAUAUAAUGUUUUGAAACUCAAUGUGAAACGGGCA
Molecule: unclassified non-coding RNA, 231 nt
Filed under: Hevea brasiliensis (rubber tree)
Lineage: Eukaryota; Viridiplantae; Streptophyta; Magnoliopsida; Malpighiales; Euphorbiaceae
Source: RNAcentral